UUCCGUAGGUGAACCUGCGGAAGGAUCAUUCGCACAUGUUCCCAACAAUACUCUUGUGCAUUGCUUUUGUGAGGGUCUGUGUGUGGAUGCAACGGUGAAAAGCUGUUCCCUCAUGCAGAUACUCGCGGGCAGUGGGGCGUGCAUCUGACUCUCUGUUUGCUGCACGUUCUCACUGUCACUGCCGUAUGGCGCUCAAGUGUUAUCGAUUGCCAAUGGCUUAUGCCAUUUGACUCACAACUUUCAGCGAUGGAUGUCUCGGUUCGAACAACGAUGAAGGGCGCAGCGAAGUGCGAUAAGCAUUGUGAAUUGCAGAAUUCCGUGAACCGACAGGGACUUGAACGCAUAUUGUGCUUUUGGGAUAUCCCCGAAAGCAUGCCUGCUUCAGUGUCUGUGCUUUGUUGUUCCAGCAGCGCUGCCACACCAAGCAUUGCUGCUGAGAGUGCUUGUGUCUCAAGAUGCGCAUCUUGGUGCUCCUGAGGCAUUCAGUUGACAAGGCUACGCUGCGACUGCCAGCUUACUGAGCAUUUUGUGCUUGUUGUUUGCUGUGCGAAGUGUGCGUUGUGCCUUGUGCUCUGGCUUGAUAUGGUUUUCAAGCUCUUACGACAUGAAGUUAGGUCAGCAAACCCGCUGAAUUUAAGCAUAUC
RNAcentral lists this ribosomal RNA (644 nucleotides) under uncultured eukaryote. RNAcentral describes it as "eukaryotic LSU rRNA". The stretch from base 236 to 390 matches the Rfam family "5.8S ribosomal RNA". The record is from RNAcentral.